Bubalus bubalis (water buffalo) is the source of this 3225-nucleotide long non-coding RNA. RefSeq lists it as uncharacterized. The record is from RefSeq and is a predicted model, not a curated record. The transcript has 10 exons. Lineage: Eukaryota; Metazoa; Chordata; Mammalia; Artiodactyla; Bovidae.
ACCAGAGCGCAUGCGCAAGGGUGUGGGGAGGACGGGAGGGGCAGCCGCGGUCUUCCGGGGGGGAGGGGAGACCAGACGAGGCCUUUGGGGCGGGCGCCCGCUCGGACGGGCACGUGGGGCCCCUUCGUCCUUAGCGUCCGGGCGCCCCGCGCCAGUCCCCACCCCUGCCCCGGCCCUGUGGCGGCAGCUGGUGGGGAGAAAAACCGAAAUCAUCCCGCGCCACGGCCAUCAGAGUCGCGGCUGUGCUGAUGGUUUCUGGGAAGUGCUAGAAACGGGGCCAUAAAGAGAAUGGCGUCCAUUUACAUAAUGCUUUGUCUGCAUUUUGCAACUCUCUUCGUUAAGCCCGCAGAAACCCCACCUCCUACGCUGGUGUCGUUUUAGUCGCUGCUGCCUCGUCACACGUUUAAGACAAUGGAGUGCAUUUAUCCGGGCUCUUGGGGGGGUUCCUGCGGUUUCCCCCGCGAGGGUUACGCUCCUGCUGCUGCCUUUCGGCACCUUCCCCGCUCAGCGCAGCCAUCGCGCCCGCGCUGUCCGGGGGCGGCCCCCAAAUGGGCCCGCCAUCUUGGAGGACCUUUCCUGAGGGUGUGGAGCCGAGCUGCCCUCCCGCUGAGGAAAGGUCGCUGGGGCCGUUGGUGCUCCAGUUGUGAUUUCUGCCCGUUCCCUUUUUCCUUCGGUUGAGCGAGACAGAACAGGCCGAGUGCGCGGCGUGCUUUAGGAUCCUUUAUGGAAAGCGGCUAACGUGGCGGCCCCUCAGUCCCCCGCCCCCUUCCCCGGGGGGUGGCCGCCAUAUUUGCUGAACACAAAAUGGCGACACGUGUCCUGGAUUCGUCGCCAACGAGCAGUUGGGGUCGGCCUGAAAACUAGAAUGCGCCCCCCUCCCACCCCACCCAUGAUGAAUUCAUUUAGGCCCAGAGAGAUGAAGUGACUAAUUGAAGGUCACACAGUGUCCAGGAUGGAUUCCAGACCUUCUGAUAGACUUAUUGACCUGCACUAUCUUGUGGAUAUGUGAGUGAAUUCCACACCUCCCAUUUUACAGAUGAAGCCACUGAGAUACAGAGGAACUGACUAUAAAUAGUCACCACCCCACCCCUGGAGCCUCACAUGACUCUUCCAGGUUCAUUAAAGGGUUUAACAAGGUUGGGAAGAGCUGUCCGGUAUGUGACUAUGUGAUGCGUGAGGCACAGCAGGCUGUGAUAGAGACUAAUUGAUGGUGGUCUCAGCCUCUCUGGCCACUUCAGUUACCAUCUGCAUAUGGAUGAUACCCGGAUCACUCUCCAGACCAGACUAUCCAAUUGUUGACAUGGACAACUUCACUGGGAUGUUUUGAAGACUCAGCAGAAUGCAGCUCCUGCUCUUCCCCUGUUGCUCCUCCUCCAGUGUCCUGCCACGUGCAUCAUCUGCCAUGGUGUACUCUCUACCUUGACCUCCCCAGCUCAUCACAUCUCUUCAGAUGACACAUGGUCUUAUCACUGUAAUGUGGUAGUUGAGGCUGUGACUCUGGAGCCAGCCUGAUGGGGACUGAAUUCUGACUCAGCCACUUACUAUGUGACCUUGGAUCACUGAGAAAGAAGUCAAGACGCAGGCCCACUUUGCCCCUAUAUUAAUAUGGGCCUUGUUGAGACCAUUUGGAAGUGGAGCUCAGGCCUCAAAGUAGGCUGUUCCAAGGCUAUAAAUGUAAUCACAUCCUGUUACUGCUUGAUUCCGUCGAGUUUAAAAUAGCGUUGGAAACCUCCUAGGAAAAAAAGCUCCACCGUAACUUCUUGGCUAAGGAAGUAGUAUGUGCUGGCCAGAGCAGAAGGAGUAGCCAGGGCUCCCAAGUUCUAUUCUGGACCUGUUGAUUUGAGGUGUGAUGUUCAGCAAUCUGAGAUGAUGUUCUGUAGUGCUAAGGUUUCUCAUCCUUAGCACAGAGUUUGUGCUUGCAGGGAAAGAGGCCAACAUGCUGGUUUCCUGUCCUCUAGGAGAGUCUCAUUAUUAGAAGUCCUCCCUUUCAUUUGAAUUUCUGUGUCCCUACUUUUUUUUUAAAUGAAGAAACAUCCCCCACAGAGUUAAUACAGGAACCCCAGCCGUAUCAUCCAUGUUUUACUUGACUUCAUCUUAUCAGAAUUGCUUUCCUUUUAGCAGUGUGAUUUAGAUCAGCUCUUGUGAGGAAUGGGAACUUUGAUAGGGUUUAGGAAGAGGAAGGGAAAGUUUGUGUGGGGCACACACCUUGGACAACCAGAAAGGAACAUGAAGGGACCAGAAAUGAACAAAACUACGGGAGGUCUAGGAAUGGCAAAGUGGCACCUGUGCUUCGAACGCUCAGAUUAUGUAAAAGGAAUUGAAGCAGACACUGUGCGAGGGGAAGUCUCAGUCCCUCCUUGAGGAGCAUUUCUUGAGCCAUUUUUCAGGCUGCUCCAUGUGGCAUGUGGGAUCUUAGUUUCUAGACCAGGGAUUGAACCCACGCCCCCUUCAUUGGAAGCAUGGAUCACUGGACCAUCAAGGAAGUCCCAGCAAAUCUGAUUAACAAAUAGCCUAAUAGAAGACAGCUGGAUUCUCAUGCCUGCUUUUGUGCUCAAUGAUAUAUUGCUUUCCUUGAAGUAGAUGAAUGAAAUUCAACUUCAUACAGAUUUGUAUUUGGAAAAAGUAAAAGUAUUUUAAGAGCCUUUUCAGAUAAUUGUGGAUAUCUUUUUAUUCAAAGUCAUAAUAUUUUGAUAAAGGCAUUUAUUUACACAGCAGUAAAAAUUAUAUAUUAUACAUUGUGUGUGUGUGGGCUCAGUCACUAACUCAUGUCUGACUCUUUUGUGGACCCCUGGACUGUAGUCUGCCAGGUUCCUCUGCCCAUGUAAUUUUCCAGGCAAGAAUACUGGAGUGGGUUGCCAUUUCCUACUCCUUGGAUCUUUUUUGAUAUGUCACCAGAAUUGGACAGAUGGCAUAUUCUGAAAGGUUAGUUGCAGUGUGAGAUCUGAAACCUAUCAGUGAAUUUCUCAUACUCAGUUAUAUUAGGGCUUCCUUGUGGCUCAGCAGUAAAGAAUCCGCCUGCAGUGCAGGAGACAUGAGUUCUAUCCCUGGGUCAGGAGGAUGCCCUGGAGAAGGAAAUGACAAUCCACUCCAGUGUUUUUGCCUGGAAAAUCCCAUGGACAGAGGACCUUGGCAGGCUACAGUUCAUAGGGUUGCACAGAGUCAGACACUUCUUGGUGACUAAAAAGCAGCUAUAUUAAAGUCUGUUGGUCUGUCUUGUGCAUUGAA